This 253-nucleotide ribosomal RNA is filed under the name uncultured bacterium. Its description in RNAcentral is "partial 16S ribosomal RNA". It matches the Rfam family "Bacterial small subunit ribosomal RNA", at positions 524 to 776 of the family's 1533-position model. The record is from RNAcentral.
UACGGGGGGGGCAAGCGUUGUUCGGAAUUACUGGGCGUAAAGGGCUCGUAGGCGGCCAACUAAGUCAGACGUGAAAUCUCUCGGCUCAACCGAGAAACGUCGGCUGAUACUGCCGUUCUUGAGGGAUGCAGAGGAGACUGGAAUUCCUGGUGUAGCGGUGAAAUGCGCAGAUAUCAGGAGGAACACCGAUGGCGAAGGCAGGUCUCUGGGCCACUACUGACGCUGAGAAGCGAAAGCAUGGGGAGCGAACAGG